AUAACGGUCCUAAGGUAGCGAAAUUCCUUGUCGGGUAAGUUCCGACCUGCACGAAUGGCGUAACGACUUCCCCGCUGUCUCCAACAUCGACUCAGCGAAAUUGAAUUGCCUGUCAAGAUGCAGGCUUCCCGCGGUUAGACGGAAAGACCCCGUGCACCUUUACUACAACUUUACACUGAUAACAGGCACAAUAUGUGCAGAAUAGGUGGUAGGCUUUGAAGCAGGGACGCCAGUCCUUGUGGAGCCUCCUUUGAGAUACCACCCUUAUUUUUCUUGUUAUCUAACUGCGGUCCGUUAUCCGGAUCCAGGACCCUGUAUGGUGGGUAGUUUGACUGGGGCGGUCGCCUCCUAAAGCGUAACGGAGGCGCGCGAAGGUUGGCUCAGAGCGGUCGGAAAUCGCUCGUUGAGUGCAAUGGCAGAAGCCAGCCUGACUGCGAGACUGACAAGUCGAGCAGAGUCGAAAGACGGCCAUAGUGAUCCGGUGGUCCCGAGUGGAAGGGCCAUCGCUCAACGGAUAAAAGGUACGCCGGGGAUAACAGGCUGAUACUGCCCAAGAGUCCAUAUCGACGGCAGUGUUUGGCACCUCGAUGUCGGCUCAUCUCAUCCUGGGGCUGGAGCAGGUCCCAAGGGUACGGCUGUUCGCCGUUUAAAGAGGUACGUGAGCUGGGUUUAGAACGUCGUGAGACAGUUCGGUCCCUAUCUGCCGUGGGUGUAGGAUACUUGAGAGGAGUUGCCCCUAGUACGAGAGGACCGGGGUGAACGAUCCACUGGUGGACCAGUUGUCGACUACGGCAGUGCUGGGUAGCUAUGAUCGGACAGGAUAACCGCUGAAAGCAUCUAAGCGGGAAGCCCCCCUCAAAACAAGGUAUCCCUGAGGACCGAGGUAGACCACCUCGUCGAUAGGCCAGAGGUGUAAGCGUGGUAACACGUUCAGCUGACUGGUACUAAUGGUCCGAUAGGCUUGAUUUG
RNAcentral lists this ribosomal RNA (969 nucleotides) under marine metagenome. RNAcentral's name for it is "bacterial LSU rRNA". It matches the Rfam family "Bacterial large subunit ribosomal RNA", at positions 1942 to 2925 of the family's 2925-position model. The record is from RNAcentral.